CUGCCACCCAGAAAGGCAGCCAGCCACCUGUUCGGGGGCCCUUCCCCCCCCCCAUAUUGAGCCUCACAGACAAUCACGGUCACAUGCUUGCUCAUGGUGGGGUCUCCCUUCCCUGCGAUUUCUCCCUGUAUUUCUGGGAGGUAUGUGUUUACUUCUCUUUUUCCUUUUUGCCCGCCAUUUAACUCUCGUCCUGGGAAAGCUUGGUUAAGAGAACGCAGUUGGUGCGUGGGUUCCUGCCGCCUUGCAACCUUCUCUCUCCAGAAGCCUAGGAAGGGCUUCCAUCUGCGAGUCCCCCGUGACAACGGCCUGCCUUCCCUCGUUGCCAUCAAGGUACAAGCACGGACUCCAGUCGGUCAGCUGCUGGCUGGGUUUUUCACGGACCCUUUGCCCUGCUGUUUCUUUCCUUGUGCAAAAUCCCCGGUGCCAGCCCACCAGAAGGUCAUAGCAACAAGCAACCGUGUUCUCAGUGCUCCUUUUCUAGCAUUUUCCCUCCCCCAUCAGUCUCUCCAGAGUCCUAUCUUCACAGCCGGAGGCCUCACCAACCUCAGUUUCACCGAGAGCUGAGCUAAGAAGCUGUUGAUUCCCAUCUGGAAUGCAUUUAACGUUGCCUGUUUGCAGAACACAAUAUUUAAAGGGUGUGGAUGGAUGAGUGCUAAAGCAAAUCAUUUACAGACCUCAUGAAAAAUGAUUAGGUCCAUCUCUGAUUUUUUUUUUAAUGAGGAUUUGUGUUUAGAAAUAUCAACUUCUUUAUUGUCAAAUGCUCCUAAAAUGUAAUCUAACGGCAAGUUUGACCAGAGGCUAGGAUCGUAUGUUAAAAAGGAACUGAAAGAAGUAAUAUCUGGGGUUCGUGAGCCUAUUCUCUACCAUAUUCUCCAGCAAAACCCCCAAUAGCCUGAAUUGUCUAACUUCAGUCGGCUAGAGGAGGGCAGUGUAUAAUUGUUCAUCCUCCGAUUUUUGAAACUUGGACUGCUACCCAGGACCAAAUAGGUACUCUGUGUGCCCAGUUAUACUUUUCCAAGAUAAGACACAAUCACUGUUAAUCCUAACGUAGCUUUAGGUUAUGAAUAGAAAGUCAAAUCUCACUGUCUAAACAGGGCUUCUCAAAACCUAGCAGGGGAUAAAAUUCGCCACAGCUUUGCUAAGCCACUCCGUGUCUUACGGCGGAAAAAGAUCUUUGUAGAAAUGUUGACUUUCGGUUUUUGCACCCUGAUAACUAGAAUUUAGAAUGGGACCUAAUCAUUGCUUUUGUUUUUGGAAAGCUG
Ailuropoda melanoleuca (giant panda) is the source of this 1262-nucleotide long non-coding RNA. RefSeq lists it as uncharacterized. Lineage: Eukaryota; Metazoa; Chordata; Mammalia; Carnivora; Ursidae. The record is from RefSeq and is a predicted model, not a curated record. The transcript has 2 exons.